Cadophora gregata is the source of this 96-nucleotide non-coding RNA. NCBI's taxonomy places the organism in Eukaryota, Fungi, Ascomycota, Leotiomycetes, Helotiales, Ploettnerulaceae. The record is from the annotation of a RefSeq genome assembly.
GGUGCUUUGGCUGAGUGGUCUAUAGCGAUAGACUAGAAUAUUAUCUAGAGAUAUCUAUUUCCCUAGGGAGCGCAGGUUCAAAUCCUGCAGGCAUCG